Camelus dromedarius (Arabian camel) is the source of this 614-nucleotide long non-coding RNA. RefSeq lists it as uncharacterized. Lineage: Eukaryota; Metazoa; Chordata; Mammalia; Artiodactyla; Camelidae. The transcript is spliced from 3 exons. The record is from RefSeq and is a predicted model, not a curated record.
GGGCAGAGGCCAUGGUCCGGGAGGGAGGCGGCCUGGGAGCUGCGGUGGCCCCAGAGGAGCAGGAGGCCAAUGAGGAUGAGAAACAGGAUGACAGAAAGCGCCAUGGUCCUCCCUUCGCCUGCCUUCCGCCUUGCUGCCCUUCUUAAAAGCUCUAGUUUUCCAGAUGGACCAUGCUGUCUUCACCUUCAGCCUCUGCUCCUGCUCUUCCUGCUGAUGGAAGCCUCCAGUGGCUGACUGAUGGUCACCCAUGAUGUCUUAGCUUAGAAGCCAGUGCUUCAGAAAGAAGAAAGAAGGAAAGAAAGAAGGAAAGAAAAGAAAGAAAGAAAGAAAGAAAGAAAGAAAGAAAGAAAGAAAGAAAGAAAGAAAGAAAGAAAGAAAGAAAGAAAGAAAGAAAGAAAGGAAGGAAGGAAGGAAGGAAGGAAGGAAGGAAGGAAGGAAGAAGGAAGGAAGGAAGAGAAAAAGAGAAAUGAGAGUGAUAAAACCAAAAAAAACCAAAAGGUCAAGUUUGGAGAUCGAGAUCCCAGGAUGCCCACACAAAGGAGAUGCAGGAGCCCAGUGGGAUGAUGUACCUUGGGGAGGAUGUAGCCUCGGAAGUAAGUGUCUUUGGUGACCAU